Molecule: long non-coding RNA, 492 nt
Organism: Talpa occidentalis (Iberian mole)
Lineage: Eukaryota; Metazoa; Chordata; Mammalia; Eulipotyphla; Talpidae
Exons: 3
Source: RefSeq, a predicted model, not a curated record
GGCGAUAGAGACCUAACCAAGUCAUGAACUUGGAGGAUGAAAAGGCAAGAGGAUGGUAUCCUAAGGGAGUCUCAUAAUCAACGCUGUCUUUGAAAGGUCAGAUGACCUAUAUUUUUACAGUGAACUGUACCUAAUGUAGAUUCAACAAUAAUUUAUGGACUUUCUUCUAGGAAGCAGAAAGAACUUGGCCAAUGCUGCCCCAGUUUCAACUCUCAUUUGGAGCUUCUAAUCUGCUCGUUCACUAGAGGACAAUUAUAACCCUGAUGUUUGGAAUCAAGGAUGACAUAUGAUUAUAGGUUUUUCAUACAACAGUGGGAGAGAAGUCAUAUGCAUCACUGUGUUCAGGAGAGAGAAUAUAACUUAGAAAUGAGCAUAAACAUAUCCAGGACAUUGCUUUAUGUGAACAUAAAGGAGGCAUUUGAGGACAGCUGUGAGCACUGAACAGCACGCUCAGCCUUUUGAAUGUCCCUGACCUACUGAGUGCUGAAGUUU